CUUCUCCAUCGAUGCUUUCCGGCGGCUGCAACAUUCCCGAUCCAUGGUCUCUGGCUCCGUCCCUCGGCCGGAUCUGGCCGAGGAGGCCGUCACCCCCGCGCUCGACGCCGACUCCAGAGUCCCCGCCACCGUCAUCACGGGCUUCCUCGGUUCCGGAAAGACGACGCUGCUGAACCACAUCUUAAACGCUCAACAUGGGAAGAGGAUCGCCGUCAUCGAG
RNAcentral lists this unclassified non-coding RNA (220 nucleotides) under Hevea brasiliensis (rubber tree). Lineage: Eukaryota; Viridiplantae; Streptophyta; Magnoliopsida; Malpighiales; Euphorbiaceae. The record is from RNAcentral.